GAAAAAGAAUGCAAGAACUGCUAACUCAUGCAACCGUACAUAACAGUAUGGCUUUUUCA
This 59-nucleotide transfer RNA is filed under the name Pipistrellus nathusii (Nathusius's pipistrelle). RNAcentral describes it as "tRNA-Ser". The record is from RNAcentral. Lineage: Eukaryota; Metazoa; Chordata; Mammalia; Chiroptera; Vespertilionidae.